UGGGGAAUAUUGCACAAUGGGCGCAAGCCUGAUGCAGCCAUGCCGCGUGUAUGAAGAAGGCCUUCGGGUUGUAAAGUACUUUCAGCGGGGAGGAAGGGAGUAAAGUUAAUACCUUUACUCAUUGACGUUACCCGCAGAAGAAGCACCGGCUAACUCCGUGCCAGCAGCCGCGGUAAUACGGAGGGUGCAAGCGUUAAUCGGAAUUACUGGGCGUAAAGCGCACGCAGGCGGUUUGUUAAGUCAGAUGUGAAAUCCCCGGGCUCAACCUGGGAACUGCAUCUGAUACUGGCAAGCUUGAGUCUCGUAGAGGGGGGUAGAAUUCCAGGUGUGGCGGUGAAAUGCGUAGAGAUCUGGAGGAGUACCGGUGGCGAAGGCGGCCCCCUGGACGAAGACUGACGCUCAGGUGCGAAAGCGUGGGGAGCAAACAGG
RNAcentral lists this ribosomal RNA (429 nucleotides) under Chloroflexota bacterium. Its description in RNAcentral is "Chloroflexi bacterium partial 16S ribosomal RNA". It matches the Rfam family "Bacterial small subunit ribosomal RNA", at positions 355 to 776 of the family's 1533-position model. The record is from RNAcentral. Lineage: Bacteria; Bacillati; Chloroflexota.